This is a non-coding RNA of Varroa destructor (honeybee mite), 3406 nucleotides long. NCBI's taxonomy places the organism in Eukaryota, Metazoa, Arthropoda, Arachnida, Mesostigmata, Varroidae. The record is from RefSeq and is a predicted model, not a curated record.
UCUGGCUAGCGCCUCUUCAGCGACGGUCAAAGCAUUCACUGAUGAAAGGAUACUCCCCCGCAUGUAUCACCUGUGCUACACUUCCUUAGGCAAUUCAUGCGACGGCUGAACGAUAUCGACGGACCGUGUAUGAUAUCCUAUACGAUGUGUAAUAAGUCUGCGUAGAAUACGUAUUUUCCGGUGGUGCCUGAGUUACGAUUUCGCUGGCCGCAAUCAAUCGGUUAUAUCCAUGCGACCAGGACUAAUUCUGGCCUAUCGUUUCCAACAAUGGGGGAUGUGACCAAAAAGGCCGGUGGUUAUGUUCAGGUCAAGCUUAUUCCGUCCGAUCGUAGCGGCCAAACAUGGUCUGGUUGGGCCCGUCGAUGGGUCGAUCUCUUACUUGUAAAGAAAGAUUCAAUGAAGACCAAAAAAGAGACCUUCAUUGAAGCAUGGAUUGAAGUGCGCAAGAAAAAGAGUUCGGCUAAACCCAUUAAAAUGUGGACUAUCGAUGCUAAAGACACACUGGUAUAUCGGUGUACGUCGAGGAGCAAGAAUCAUCCAUUUGGAAUUCGAUUCAAAGGCAAGGAUUUACUCUACCUUAGCGGAAAUUCGGAGAGUGAGAGUCAGGAAUGGAUGAAGCGUAUUAGAAGCACCCUGUGGCCUGUUGACAAGGGGGUCGAGUUGGAGACUUCUGCUGGAAAACUGUUCGAGGUGUCCGUAAUCGACAACAAUUACUCUGUAUCAUGCGAACUGCUCGGCAGUUAUGGCCAUUUAACUGUGCGAGAAAACAAACUUAUGAUGUUUGAUUAUAAUGGAAGAUAUAUUGUUCAGGAAUGGUAUCUGCACACGAUACGCAAACUGGAUGCGUUCAAAGCUUCGCAAAUCGACACCGGUCGACUCCUCAGCGUUCACCUCGGGGAGAACAGUUCGACCGGUUGUGGAGUUCUCUACCUGUUCUGUCCUAGUGCAGUUCUUCUACUAGAAACAGUGCAAGCAAAAAUUAAAGAAAUUUUCAGCAAUCUUGAGGACGAACGCAAAGCCCAACAGGCAACGCUGUUAAGCUUGGGUGCCCUUCAUGAUAUUAGCCUAGAGGAGUUUGAAGCCCGAGACGACGAUUUCGCGACGAAGACGAUAACCAUUUCCGAUGAAAUCAUAAAGGCUAAAAAUGAGCUUACGGUAGGAGGAAUUCGGGGUACGCCAAGGCCUUCAAAUGCUGCUCCGAUGCAACAGUCUGCCAUGAAAAAUGAACCUUGGCAAGAUAAUUGUCUCUACGAGGGUGUCGAGAGGGCGGAUUACACUCCCGAGCUUGACCGGGAGAGAGAAGAUGGUAAAAAACAAAGAUCCCAGUCACUGGUGGUGAUGACCCGGCCCAGAACUAACAGCUGUACCCUUGAACUGGAUCUCCCUGAUCUAACCAAACUUAAAAAGCACCUGCUUAAGCGCAGAGGCAGCUUGCCUCAACGUCGAACGACAGAUGAAAUUAAGAGCCAAAUGUCGUUGGUGACUAACGCUCGACUGAGAGAUAGCCAAACUCGACAAGACCUUCACAGAUUCAGGCAGGUCCUCAAUCUAUCAGCUACAAGGGACAUUGUGAGGCUUGACAAGUCCUCGUCAGGAUCUGCACUCGGCGCAGUCAAUGAAGUUGAAGAAUCAUCGACCGAUACAGAUUCUCCCAGCACAACACCUCCAUCAGUACAAACGACUAUCACGGAAAGCGUAACAGAUAUUCCUAAGCAUUUAAAAGAGAAUGCUGCUUCUGAGUUUGCUACAGCGUCUAUUGAGAACGACGGUACCAGCCCCAGCGAAAACACUGACUUCUCGAAUGCUGACAAGGAAGGCGCUUUCGACAGAUUUACCCUUGAUAUGCAAGAAGAACAGCCGACGCCGGCCAAGGGAGCUGACAAGGCGAUAGAGGCGAAUUCGUCGAAAACCUUUGAUGCGACGCAAGACGUUGCUCCAGCGGAUAGCGAUAUCCGUAAAGAAAACGGCGAUAAUAACAAUGUUAAUAUGGAGAAAGAAAAAAAUAUAGGGCGGGAUAAUAUCCAGGCGGUGACUAUCAACUUCGGUCUAGCUGCUACCGGCGUCCCUCCUCCGAAGCCUCAGCGAAUAAUACAGUAUACAAGAGACACAGAUGGAAAGAAAACAACAAUCAUUGAAGACCUAAUGUGACUUUGCUUUGCACGACAAACUACUGAAUAUAACUUACUUUCUAUGGUGUACUCAAGAACGCGCUACCUUUUUAUCUAUUCAGAAUAUGCAGAAGAAGAUAUUUAGCUGGACCGUGGUCGUCCCACGGCUUUUUGGACUUACUCAAACAUCGCCUAAAUAAGUGCAUCUGGGGAAAGCAAAAUGUAUUUGAACCCGAUGUGAUCAUAGGCUGCAUUGUACCUACGAAAUGUGAUCAAAAAUCAAGAACACCCCACUUUCGCGCAGCCUGCUGUCGUUGAUGAUUUGAAGCACGCAUUACAUUCUAACUUACUAGACCGAAACUUCAACCAACUGAAUAACACUACAUGUAUCAAUUUGUGUGGUAGUAAGUUGUAUGCGCGGUAAUUGUACGUUAUUAAAUUGGUGGACGCAGGUUAUUUGGUGUCCUUUUAAUAUGAAUAUCGUUAGAAUGAGGUUACUCACAUAGUAAGAAGCUUAUUGUAGAAAGUGGCUGAAACAGUUUGCAUAGGAAAGUUAUUAUAUAGUUAAUCCAUAUCUCGAGUCUGGUACUAUAUUUGGGCAUUGCUUGAGAUCGCUGACCCCUACCAAAAUGUAACGGGGUGCGUCUACGGUCCGAUUUCAACCCUGGACCAUCGCAUAUUUUCAAGUUUAUUAGACAAGCGUGGUACCGAUUGUAUUUUUAUGGGGAUAUGUGAUUAUACGUUAAGAAGGCUUUUUCAUUCUAGCUUUUUUUCUUCCAGUUGCAUUCUUUUAAUUUUAUUCAUCUUUAUCGAAUACAAGGAAAGGGUCGAUAGUCCUUUUUUAAGUUUGUAUAUAUUUUUCGAACUGCUCUUGCUCCUUGUAGAACGAUACGGCUUAUUGGAAACUUUCCAACGGUAGACCUGGCGAAAUGAUAGUGGGUAUAGGAUCACGUAUUCUGUUCACGUGCGCCAACAGUACCGAACAGCAUUACGUCGUGCUGAAAGGAAGUGUCCAGCUUAGGUUUUCAACGACAGGGAUAUAUAGGAUAUAGCUCCUAGUUGUUCUUAAUCUUUUAGCACCAACACCUUCUCUAACGAUCAAAUUCUAAAAGAUUACAGGUAACAACAUCAUGAACCGUUGGUACUUUAUCGAACUGCGACUUUUAAGUACCAAAUGAAGGGUGAUAAUAACGACAAACGAAGCAUCAUUUUAUAUUAUAAGCGAGACACUUGUGUUACACUACAAUCAGAGAAAAAUUAUAUGAAACAAGAUCGCUUAAACAUAACCCUAAUAAAAU